Molecule: ribosomal RNA, 362 nt
Filed under: uncultured bacterium
Lineage: Bacteria
Description: partial 16S ribosomal RNA
Rfam family: Bacterial small subunit ribosomal RNA
Source: RNAcentral
CCUACGGGUUGCAAAGUUCUGUCGAAGGGGAAGAAAAUGACGGUACACGGCAAGAAAGAUCAGGCUAACUACGUGCCAGCAGCCGCGGUAAGACGUAGGGAGCAAGAGUUGGCCGGAAUUACUGGGUGUAAAGGGAGCGGAGGCGGGAGGAUAAGGUGAAGGUGAAAUCUAUGGGCUCAACCCAUAGCUGCGUUCAAAACUGUUCUUCUUGAGUGAAGUAGAGGCAGGCGGAAUUCCUCGUGUAGCGGUGAAAUGCGUAGAUCUUAGGAGGCACACCAGUGGCGAAGGCGGCCUGCUGGGCUUUUCCUGACGCUGAGGCUCGAAAGCGUGGGUAGCACCCCGGCUUAGCUCCCCGAGUAGUC